This 431-nucleotide ribosomal RNA is filed under the name uncultured bacterium. RNAcentral describes it as "partial 16S ribosomal RNA". It matches the Rfam family "Bacterial small subunit ribosomal RNA", at positions 338 to 795 of the family's 1533-position model. The record is from RNAcentral.
CCUACGGGGGGCAGCAAUUAGGAAUCUUGUGCAAUGGGCGAAAGCCUGACACAGCGACGCCGCGUGAGGGAGGAAGGCCUUCGGGUUGUAAACCUCUUUUGACGAGGAGCCGGUACUCGUCGAAUAAGCCCCGGCUAACUCCGUGCCAGCAGCCGCGGUAAUACGGGGGGGGCGAGCGUUGUCCGAAGUUACUGGGCGUAAAGCGCGUGUAGGCGGGUUGUUAAGUCCGCUGUGAAAGCCCGGUGCUCAACGCCGGAGGGUCGGUGGAUACUGGCAGUCUUGAAGUGGCUAGGGGGAAAUGGAAUUACCGGUGUAGCGGUGAAAUGCGUAGAUAUCGGUAGGAACACCAGUGGCGAAGGCGGUUUCCUGGAGUACUUGACGCUGAGACGCGAAAGCUGGGGGAGCAAACGGGAUUAGAUACCCUUGUAGUC